CUCUUCCCUUUCUUGAUAGACCUUUUUCUCUUCUGCACUCUCAACCCAGCCCCAACCCUUCGUCCGACACCACUGCCAUCAUCAUUGGCGACCACCGUCGCCUACCCCCUCUCUCUUCCCUCUCUUUUUUUUUUCCCUCUUUCUCCAUUUCUCCUCAAUCCCCUGUACAUUACCCCUGGUCUCUGUGCAAAGUCCAACCCCGCGCGAGAAACCCCAGUGCAACCUAGCAGCGGCUGAGCUUUGUGCCGCUGCAACACUGCCUCUGCUACCCCUCUCUUUCUAUUCUUCCCCUUUCACCAACGCAGGUCAUAGAAUGUACAGACAUUACUGGAAGUGAUGACACAGAUCUUGUUGAUGAGUUACCGGAUCAUAGUUGCCUUGCCGAAGACGAAAUACCAAGAGUUAGGAUGCAGUUUGAGCAUUUGAAGCUGGCUUAGGAUGUUUAUAUAUGCAAGAUAUGCAAAAAAAGUCGGUUUCGAUUCAAUAGCGUAGCGAAUGGUUAUUUGGUACCCAGAUGGUUAUUUUGUAAUAGCCUUGGUGUGGUGUGUAUAAUUAGUUACAAUUAUGUUAAACUAGAUAUUCGAUUUAAUAGGAUAGCGGAUGUUUAUUUCUAUUGUUACCCAGAUGGUUAUUUUGAAUAGUCUGGGUGUAGUGUGUGUGAUUCGUUAAAAGUAUUAUAAACUGGAUGUUCGAUUUAAUAGGAGAGCGAAUGGUUAUUUCUUUUGUUACCCAGAUGGUUAUUUCGAAUA
Non-coding RNA from Arachis ipaensis, 749 nucleotides. The record is from RefSeq and is a predicted model, not a curated record. NCBI's taxonomy places the organism in Eukaryota, Viridiplantae, Streptophyta, Magnoliopsida, Fabales, Fabaceae.